Non-coding RNA from Vicia faba (fava bean), 192 nucleotides. Lineage: Eukaryota; Viridiplantae; Streptophyta; Magnoliopsida; Fabales; Fabaceae. The record is from the annotation of a GenBank genome assembly.
AUGCGGCGGGUGAAAAGGCGGUUAAUGGUGGCUUCCGAUCAGCUCAAGGUUCAGAUAAUUUUUGUUUUUUUUUCUUUUGGUUUUCUGAGUUUUUUCAGUGAAUCAAUCAGUCUGAGAAUUUUUUUCUCUGUGUUCAUGAAGGAUUAUAUACACUUAGAAAUAUUAGGGUUUUGUAUGAGCAAAUUGGGUUGA